CAGCUAUUACCGAGAAACCAAACUAUAUUCUACCGGUAAUAACGGUAUUCAGUAACGCAUUAACUCAUGGUUAAGUAACUCAAGCCAUGGUUGCCAUUCUGCUUUCUAUCCUUUUCAUUCCAAAACGAGUUGGGCUCCGAGAAAGUUCUUUUGUGGUGUUAACAGUUUCUUCAAAAACAACGUAGAAAUGUCUGAAUAUUGCAUCAAUUGUCAUCGAAUAAACACAAAAAAGAGGCAAGUUUUCAAUUCUGCAUUCGAAGAUGAUUAAAAAAAAGAAGAUGUCGACAGGGAUGAGCGGCAGUGAUUUCUCCGACAAGAUGGCGUGCCACCACACUAUGCCGUUCCUGUUCGAGCUUAUUUCAAUCAAUUAUUUCUCAAUAAUCAAGAUUUGACUCCGCCAGACUUCUUCCUUUAGGGAUAUCUGAAGAGUAAACUUUACACCAUUGGACCAAAAAAUACUUUGGAUGAACAAAAAAUCAGAAUAUGAGAAGUUUAGCGAAUAAUUUUUGAUAUCUUCAUCAAUCGUUUAGGAUUUGCCCAAGGUGAUGCCAACCCUCUAAAAGUACAGAUAGUACCGAUUUUUUCUCAGUUGUGCAUCAGUUAACUGUGCACUGAAACAACAAACCACCUUCAAGAAAGUUAUUUUGAUUAACAAUAUAAUGACACCAACUAUGGUUUUGCUGUAGUCUAACUUUUGAAGACAAUUCUUCAGUUUAACAGAUCAAUUAAAUUUAAAUAAGCAACCGAUGCAAUAUUAUAAAUAUUUUUGGAAUCAUCAGUGUAAUUGGAAGUUCCCAAAAAUCCAUGCUUCCUCAAAUGGAAUAAAGUUUCGUCUCUGAACCAUUUGUGCUUGUGUGCGAAUUGCAUGGAUUUCAGAUGGUCAAUCGUUGUGCAACUACAAUGGGGCCAUUACAUUAAUAGUAAAUAUUUUGUCGGAAAUUCAAUAGAACUUCCUUCUGGUCUAUCUAAUUACGAAAAAUGAAAAUUGAUGCUGAACGUGACUUUCCACUGUCACAUGUGGGUUAUUAUCAGACCACAUAAAUUUGUGUAUUAUUUCCACAAUAUGCUGCAGAGAUAUCUCAAUGAUUUCAUAUUUGUGAUGUGUAGUUAGGAACCAGUCUUUUAUGGCUGUGCUAUCGAUAGGUACACAAGUGUUCUACCAAGAAUAAUUGCAAGAGAGUUUGAAUAAUUCUUUGUGGAACACAUGUGUACGUGCAACUUGUACAUUUUGGGAUCUGCGUUUCUGAUCAUUUGUUUUAUUAAGAUUCCCAAAAUGUAACUCUUUCUUAUAACUCUGCUUAUUUUUCUGUGUACUGGAUAUCAUGCAACUCUUCACACAAUUAUUAUGAGUCGUUCACACUUCUGUAUAACUAUCAUUUUUAAAAUUAUAACCAAGAACCUAAAUAUUAAUAAUAUAAGUUUCACGCAAUGUUUUGAAUUUUCAAGAAUAUCAUGAUGCUAUCAUGUGUAAGUCAUGAUGCUCAAUGUCCAUAAUAAUUGUUUUGAAAAGGACUCAUCUUGGCCAAUAAGGUUAAGAUGAGGUUUUUUCAAGAUAUAUUUCAGAAUAUGACGUAUUUCACCAUUAUGAUUACAAGAUAUGAGCCGAUCUUGCUUAUAAAAUACAAAGGUUGGUUUUUUACAACUUUGUCGAAAAUUAAGAUUACUUCUUUAUGGUUCCAAGUCAAACAAAACAGGUCGAAAAAAUAAAUUGAAACACCAUUAAAGUUCAAGCUCUUUGUUAUUUCUUGCAUUUUGUUGUUUUUCUGCUCACCAACCUGUUUGCUUUAUAAUUAAGUGUUGCACCCAAGCUUUCAACAGUCGCCAUCAUGUAAAGACGCAUUAUUAUCUAUUGCGCUUCUGGCUUGGUAAUAACAAAUUCGUUAAUUUCUGAUAAUUUAUCUUUGUUUGUCAUUUUCUCCUCAUUAUAUUUUUAACUAUAAUCAAAGUUCAUUAUAACAGUUGUUAUUUAAAGAACUUAAAUAAAAUAAAAUGAAGUUGCAAGUUAAAAAGACGUUGAACGUUCUGUGUCUACAUAUAAAGUCAGUUUAUAUGUAUAAAUUUAUAAUUUAUAUUAUAUCAUAAAUUUUGAGAAAUGUGAUCGAAUGAUUUUUGCACAUCAUUCCAAUUAAGUUCUUGUUUUAAUUUAACCCAACGAAAAUGAUCAAUAUCAUUUUGAAAAAGAACUGCUUGAUUGUGUAGAAACUCUAGCCAAAUUUUUGAAGAUUCUUUUUCAAAAAACUGUUCUAAAAUUCUAGGACAUUUAUCCUGUGAUAGAAAGUAGGAUUUCAAAGGAUCGUAUAUUUUCAAAAUGAAAAUCGUAUACUGUAACCAAGUAUUUUCUGAUAUUCGACUUCCGCAGUUUCACAAAAUUCUUUAAGCAUUUCAACGGGCAACAAGUCGGCAGCUGUUUUAAUGGAGUAUAAAUAUAGCCUAUCGCGUAGAAAUGCGUUCAUGAUAAGAUUCUGACAAUUGAGUUUGUGGCAUAUAACGCAUUUUCAUAGACACUUGAAAUUAUAUCGAGUACUUUACAUUAAUAUCUAAAGCCAUAUUUCAAUUUGGAAUUUUGUAAAACUGUCAUACUGAAAUCUUUCUAGAUAUUAUUUGUCGGUACGGUAAAAUUCAAAUUAUCGUACAACAAAACUGGUAAUCAAGAUGGUAGCACGUUUAAAAUUUGUUAUCAGUAUAAUUACAUAUUUUUCCAUUUUAUUGUCAUCUUUAACAUAUCAACGUUGGGAAUUUUAAUGUUGUUCUUUAUUGUAUAAAGUAAACUCGGCAAAUCAAUUUAUAGUUUACAAUUAAUUUUAAAGCUUCAAUAUCGAACUGUUCGGUAUGUUGUAAAUUCGAUAUAACUUUCUUCAUAUCUUUGUAAUAUUCGGUCAAAAUACUACCGCAAGUUAAUAGGGUGGUAUUCUUAUUAUUGUUUUUAUCAACUUUAUUGGUAACUUCGUUUAUAUUGAUAAAAUCGCCAGGCUUGAGAAAUUUAUGAUAUGUUACCAACAAAAAUUUCAACGAUUCUUUAGAAAAUUGAAAGGUUGCAUUUUGUUUUUCACUUGCAAACACAGCAAAUUAAAUACAAAGAUGUAAUUAAAUUUUUACGCGCUGCUUCGAAGUUCUGGACACGGCAUGAAUUUUUCCUUCUUACUCAUAAUUUUAUCUUCUUUUCCUGGCUCAAUUUUUUUGCAAUGCUUGGCCAUCCUCCUCACUUAGAUCGAAGGAAUAUUUGUGCAUCACUGUUUCCAGCAUCUGCACCUCCGUUUUAUUCUCAACCCCAAGCCGGGUGUACUGCAUUGGGAGGUUGCCAUAUUUUCUUUUUAAAGUCUCGUUUUUUGGUGUAUACAACAAGCUUAUGAUUAUGCAAUUUCCGUUUAGAUUUAUACUUUUCAAACCGUAUCUAAUUCAGAAUUAUUAUUAAUAAAGGAAAAGAAACUUAACGGGAAAAUAGGUGUUUACAUACCACGUAUAGAGUUUUCGUUGGUAGAUUUAUGGAGUCAACACACAUCCAAUAAAGUACAAGGAGGUGUAUUCAUUUUGAUGCUAAAUACCAUAAUACCUUCUUCUUCUUGAUUAUUAUCACUCAAAUUAAUUGUAGCCAUUCCUUUUUGCGAUGGUGGUGGUGGUUGUCUCUUUAGAUUUUUAGGAAUAGCGUCAAAGUCCAACUGAAGGUGUACAAUUUUUAUCUUUUUAGCAACAAUUUCGUCCUCUUCUACAUCAUCAUUGCUGUAGUUGUUGUUGACUUUCAAUUUGGGGAAAUUAGCCAUCCUCAUCGACACUUAAGUCAAAUACAUACUUAUGCAUUACGGAUGCCAACAUCUGCACCUCUGUUCCGUUUUCAACCCCCAGCCUCGUAUGUUGGACUGGAAGGUUUCCAAACUUUCUCUUCAGUGUAUCAUUUUUCGGGGUAUACAAUAGUGUAAUUAUCACACAAUUCCCCUUCGUUGUAAUACUUUUUACACCAUACCUCAUUCAGAAUUAUUAAUAAACGGAAAAAAAGAAAAAGAAACUUACCGGUAGAACAGGUUUGCACACCACAUGUAAUGUUUUUAUUGGCACAUUCAUCAUGUCAGUACUGCUAACCAGUAAAGUACAUGGUGGUGUAGACAUUUAUAUGUUGAAUAAUUUGCUAAUUAAGCAUAAAUGUGGAUUAUCUUAAUAAAAAUCAUUUAGUUAUCGAUGUUUUGCAGAUGUAUUCGCUUUCAAUUUUUCUGUUAUUUCCAGAUUUAUCUCCUCAUGACGGAUCAACUUUCUAACGAUUUAGUAUCUAAAAUUAAACGUGUUAGUACAAUAAUUAAAACCAAGAGACAGUUUGUACAUUGGAUAAAAUUAUUAAACAGUAUAAUUUGUACAAUGCGAAAAAUUAUUAAAAAUAAAGUAGGGGAGACCGGCUUCAGUAGACCAAUUAGGAGUAUAUUGUUUAUCGAAAAUUGCUUGAGAUUUAGAUAUUCUUACAUGAUCACCUACAUUGAAUUUACGUUUAAGAAAAUUGCUAAUUUUAAUAUUAUUAAAUAAUGUGGAAAGUAAUUUUUUUUCAUGCUUUUGCGUAACUUCAAUUGGCUUCAUUCCGAUUGUUUUGUGUUGUUAUACUUAUUUACAAUGUCAUCUAAAAUAUCAAUCCAUUUAUAAUUUCCUCUGUAACUGAAUUCUUUCCACAUCAUAUUCUUUAACGUACUAUAUAUACUUUGCCGGCCGCCAGCUUCUACACUUCAUAUAAUUAAUAGCUGACCGCCAGCUCUUACAAUUCAUGCAGUUUUUUUGUAGUUGUUCGAAGUGUCCAGCACUUGGAACAACAUUUUAUUUUCGGUGCUGGACAAUGUUUUUGCCAAUGUCCAGCUUCCAGACACCACCAACACACCUGGGGUACUUGGAAUGGUAUAACAUUCCCAGUAUCCCAAGUUACAUCAUCCUCUUGUUCUAAAAGAGGAAGAAGAAGAGGUUAUGUAGAGAAUCAAUUACUUUAAUGAAAAACAAAAAAAAAAAAAACUUACUACUCAUUACUUCAAUGAAAAAAGCUUUACUGCUCAUUGUCCUUGUAUUGUGAUUUGUAUUUAGGUACAUACGAAUGUUAAAAUCAAUAAAAAACAGUUAUCGUUGAAAA
This is a non-coding RNA of Onthophagus taurus, 5092 nucleotides long. NCBI's taxonomy places the organism in Eukaryota, Metazoa, Arthropoda, Insecta, Coleoptera, Scarabaeidae. The record is from RefSeq and is a predicted model, not a curated record.